UACGGAGGGUGCGAGCGUUGUCCGGAAUCAUUGGGCGUAAAGGGCGCGUAGGUGGCGGGACAAGCGUGCGGUGAAAGCCUGGGGCUCAACCCCGGGUCGGCCGUGCGAACUGUUUUGCUUGAGCACUGUAGAGGCAGGCGGAAUUCCGGGUGUAGCGGUGGAAUGCGUAGAGAUCCGGAAGAACACCGGUGGCGAAGGUGGCCUGCUGGGCAGUAGCUGACACUGAGGCGCGACAGCGUGGGGAGCAAACAGG
This 253-nucleotide ribosomal RNA is filed under the name uncultured bacterium. RNAcentral describes it as "partial 16S ribosomal RNA". It matches the Rfam family "Bacterial small subunit ribosomal RNA", at positions 524 to 776 of the family's 1533-position model. The record is from RNAcentral.